Molecule: ribosomal RNA, 49 nt
Filed under: Agaricus bisporus (cultivated mushroom)
Lineage: Eukaryota; Fungi; Basidiomycota; Agaricomycetes; Agaricales; Agaricaceae
Also listed under: 12 other names
Description: partial 5.8S ribosomal RNA
Rfam family: 5.8S ribosomal RNA
About the family: 5.8S ribosomal RNA (5.8S rRNA) is a component of the large subunit of the eukaryotic ribosome.
Source: RNAcentral
AACUUUCAGCAACGGAUCUCUUGGCUCUCGCAUCGAUGAAGAACGCAGC